UACGUAGGGGGCGAGCGUUAUCCGGAUUCAUUGGGCGUAAAGCGCGCGUAGGCGGCCGCCUAAGCGGAACCUCUAACCCCGGGGCUCAACCUCGGGCCGGGUUCCGGAUUGGGCGGCUCGAGUGCGGUAGAGGAGAGCGGAAUUCCCGGUGUAGCGGUGGAAUGCGCAGAUAUCGGGAAGAACACCGAUGGCGAAGGCAGCUCUCUGGGCCGUCACUGACGCUGAGGCGCGAAAGCUGGGGGAGCGAACAGG
Molecule: ribosomal RNA, 252 nt
Filed under: uncultured bacterium
Lineage: Bacteria
Description: partial 16S ribosomal RNA
Rfam family: Bacterial small subunit ribosomal RNA
Source: RNAcentral